AGGACGAACGCUGGCGGCGUGCUUAACACAUGCAAGUCGAGCGGUAAGGCCUUUCGGGGUACACGAGCGGCGAACGGGUGAGUAACACGUGGGUGAUCUGCCCUGCACUUCGGGAUAAGCCUGGGAAACUGGGUCUAAUACCGGAUAUGACCUCAGGUUGCAUGACUUGGGGGUGGAAAGAUUUAUCGGUGCAGGAUGGGCCCGCGGCCUAUCAGCUUGUUGGUGGGGUAAUGGCCUACCAAGGCGACGACGGGUAGCCGACCUGAGAGGGUGACCGGCCACGACUGGGACUGAGACACGGCCCAGACUCCUACGGGAGGCAGCAGUGGGAAUAUGCACAAUGGGCGAAAGCCUGAUGCAGCGACGCGCGUGAGGAUGACGGCCGUUCGGGUUGUUAAACCGUCUUUCAGCGAAGGACGAAGCGACAAGGUGACCGGUUAACCUGCAAGAAGAACGCGACCGACGUAACUACGU
This 474-nucleotide ribosomal RNA is filed under the name uncultured soil bacterium. RNAcentral describes it as "bacterial SSU rRNA". It matches the Rfam family "Bacterial small subunit ribosomal RNA", at positions 26 to 506 of the family's 1533-position model. The record is from RNAcentral.